Molecule: non-coding RNA, 556 nt
Organism: Schizosaccharomyces pombe (fission yeast)
Lineage: Eukaryota; Fungi; Ascomycota; Schizosaccharomycetes; Schizosaccharomycetales; Schizosaccharomycetaceae
Source: the annotation of a GenBank genome assembly
CGACACAAGAUAUAGUACGGACGGUUGCCUUUAUAUUGUAAGAACGGAAAUCGAAAACAAUUUUCUGGCCCGGAGAAAAAACUUGGCUCUGAUAACUAGAGCAAAAUAACUUGGCCAUCUCUUCACCGUCGAAAGGCUCAUUAGUGGUGCGAUUUCUAUUUUGAAAGUCUACCUCCAAAGUCAUACUAUGAAGAUAAGGAGCUCCAUGAGGACCAUAUGGAUCAUAGUCGGCAACAUGAACCUGCUGAUUUAGCGACCAAGAAGCCCAUUCGCGAUGGGGCUGGGAAGCGCCAAGACAACCCUGUGGAAAGCCAGGAACGGGUUUAGUGCUGAACACACGAGAGUUGUCUACAAUAAUGUACUGCUGCUUAAAGUCCAUGGGAGAAACAAUGAUACAAUUGGUUAAAGCAUCUUCGGUAGAAGUCGCCUUGACGAUCCGAAAAGGACCUGAAGGGCGUCUAACAUCCAUAUGUGUAGGCAGCGGUGGUUUUUGCUCAAAGGGGCUCAUAUUGGGUGUAGGACCAGCACUGUUAUGGGAAUAACUGCCACUUAGUGG